UGGGGAAUAUUGCACAAUGGGCGCAAGCCUGAUGCAGCCAUGCCGCGUGUAUGAAGAAGGCCUUCGGGUUGUAAAGUACUUUCAGUCGGGAGGAAGGUGUCAAGGUUAAUAACCUUGGCAAUUGACGUUACCGACAGAAGAAGCACCGGCUAACUCCGUGCCAGCAGCCGCGGUAAUACGGAGGGUGCAAGCGUUAAUCGGAAUUACUGGGCGUAAAGCGCACGCAGGCGGUUGAUUGAGUCAGAUGUGAAAUCCCCGGGCUUAACCCGGGAAGUGCAUCUGAUACUGGUCAGCUAGAGUCUUGGAGAGGGGGGUAGAAUUCCAUGUGUAGCGGUGAAAUGCGUAGAGAUGUGGAGGAAUACCGGUGGCGAAGGCGGCCCCCUGGACAAAGACUGACGCUCAGGUGCGAAAGCGUGGGGAGCAAACAGG
RNAcentral lists this ribosomal RNA (429 nucleotides) under Chloroflexota bacterium. Its description in RNAcentral is "Chloroflexi bacterium partial 16S ribosomal RNA". It matches the Rfam family "Bacterial small subunit ribosomal RNA", at positions 355 to 776 of the family's 1533-position model. Lineage: Bacteria; Bacillati; Chloroflexota. The record is from RNAcentral.